GCCGGGCGUGGUGGCUCACGCCUGUAAUCCCAGCACUUUGGGAGGCUGAGAUGGGUGGAUCACCUGAGGUCAGGAGUUUGAGACCAGCCUGACCAACAUGGUGAAACCCCGUCUCUA
Unclassified non-coding RNA from Pongo abelii (Sumatran orangutan), 117 nucleotides. It matches the Rfam family "Metazoan signal recognition particle RNA". From Rfam's summary of the family: The signal recognition particle (SRP) is a universally conserved ribonucleoprotein. It is involved in the co-translational targeting of proteins to membranes. The record is from Ensembl. Lineage: Eukaryota; Metazoa; Chordata; Mammalia; Primates; Hominidae.